UACGGAGGGGGCUAGCGUUGUUCGGAAUUACUGGGCGUAAAGCGCACGUAGGCGGCUUUGUAAGUUAGAGGUGAAAGCCCGGGGCUCAACUCCGGAAUUGCCUUUAAGACUGCAUCGCUAGAAUUGUGGAGAGGUAAGUGGAAUUCCGAGUGUAGAGGUGAAAUUCGUAGAUAUUCGGAAGAACACCAGUGGCGAAGGCGACUUACUGGACAGAUAUUGACGCUGAGGUGCGAAAGCGUGGGGAGCAAACGGG
RNAcentral lists this ribosomal RNA (253 nucleotides) under uncultured bacterium. RNAcentral describes it as "partial 16S ribosomal RNA". It matches the Rfam family "Bacterial small subunit ribosomal RNA", at positions 524 to 776 of the family's 1533-position model. The record is from RNAcentral.